This 313-nucleotide ribosomal RNA is filed under the name uncultured bacterium. RNAcentral describes it as "bacterial SSU rRNA". It matches the Rfam family "Bacterial small subunit ribosomal RNA", at positions 29 to 341 of the family's 1533-position model. The record is from RNAcentral.
AUGAACGCUGGCGGCGUGCCUAAUACAUGCAAGUCGAACGAAGAACUAGCUUGCUAGUUCUUAGUGGCGAACGGGUGAGUAAUACAUAAAUAAUCUGCCCAUAUGACUGGGAUAACUAUUGGAAACGAUAGCUAAUACCGGAUAGGUUAAUUGAAGGCAUCUUCGAUUAAUUAAAGUAGGUUUUCUACACAAAUGGAUGAGUUUAUGGCGCAUUAGUUAGUUGGUGGGGUAACGGCCUACCAAGACGAUGAUGCGUAGCCGACCUGAGAGGGUGACCGGCCACACUGGGACUGAGACACGGCCCAGACUCCUA